Molecule: non-coding RNA, 98 nt
Filed under: unclassified sequences
Description: malK-III RNA
Rfam family: malK-III RNA
Source: RNAcentral
CUGCGUCCGACCACGUACGGGGCCCGUCCACGUCCGCCUCGGCGGCCGGAUGCAAGGGCCCGCGAUGGCACGGUAGGGUGAGUGGGAGCACGCUCAUG